CGCUAGUUGUUGCUCGCCUCAGGUCGCAACUGCGUAGAGGCUUCGCGCCUUUCUCGGAUACUGAGGAGGCUUGAACCUGUGGGUGGGAGGUGAAGCGGGACGGUCCCGGCGGGUCCAAAUGCAGUCGGGAAGGGGAGGACGGGAAGUCUAGCCGGCUUGGACCUGCCCCACUCUGUUACCUGCCAGAUGACGCUGAGGAAACUGCUUUUCUUCUCGAGGCCUCCGUUGCCUCGUCUGUGCCCGGGCGGUGGUGCUUAUCCGGCGGGGUCGCAGGGAGGUCUUGUGGCGGCGCGUGUUGGGUCUGCGUUUUCCUUCUGGGGAGCUUGGGCAGCAUGAGCCCAGGGCUGUGGACAGCCCGGUGCUCACGGGUUUGUGGCUCCACAGACUUCCCAAGAAAGACAACCCGAGGCGAGGCUUGUGGCUGGCCAACUGCCAGCGGCUGGACCCCAGCGGCCAGGGCCUGUGGGACCCGGCAUCCGAGUACAUCUACUUCUGCUCCAAACACUUUGAGGAGAACUGCUUUGAGCUGGUGGGAAUCAGGUGGGCCUCCCUGCCGGCCGACGCUGGGGUAGGAUGUGGGGCUUCCGGCGGACUGGGACAGCUGCGGGUCCUGGAAGUCCCUUGAGCAGCCUGCGUCCAAGGGGGCUGUUUCCUCUUCCCAGCUCUGCACAGUGAAACCUACCCCCAGGAUCACUGUGCCUGUGACACAAGGGGAAAACAGGAGCCUUUCCAGAGAGUAUUUUUCAGAGCUCCAGUCUUGCCAGCAAGUCCACAAAUCAAAGAAUUCUUUCUGGCUGGUCAGCCCAGCUCGGCUUGUGCAGGCUUUCCACACACCUGGACUUUGAGGAGUCCUGCAGGGAAGCGAUUGGUGUAGCUCUAACUUGGUAUUCCCCAGACGUAUUGUUUGCACGAUGCCUUCCAGCCUCCCACGGCGUUGGUGCUGGGGGCAGAUUGGCCUGGGGAGGCAGCACUUGUUCUCCAGCUCAUCUGGGUUGCUUUUCCCCACAGCGGGUAUCACAGGCUAAAGGAGGGGGCAGUCCCCACCAUAUUUGAGUCUUUCUCCAAGUUGCGCCGGACAACCAAGACCAAAGGACACAGUUAUUCACCUGGCCCCCCUGAAGUCAGCCGGCUCAGACGAUGCAGGAAGCGCUGCUCCGAGGGCCGAGGGCCCACAACUCCAUUUUCUCCACCUCCACCUGCUGAUGUCACCUGCUUUCCUGUAGAAGAGGCCUCAGCACCUGCCACUUUGCCGGCCUCCCCAGCUGGGAGGCUGGAGCCUGGCCUUAGCAGCCCCUUUUCAGACCUACUGGGCCCCCUGGGUGCCCAGGCAGAUGAAGCAGGCUGCAGUGCCCAGCCUUCACCAGAGCGGCAGCCCUCCCCUCUCGAACCACGGCCAGUCUCCCCCUCAGCCUAUAUGCUGCGCCUGCCCCCACCCGCCGGAGCCUACAUCCAGAAUGAACACAGCUACCAGGUGGGCAGCGCCUUACUCUGGAAGCGGCGAGCUGAGGCGGCCCUUGAUGCCCUUGACAAGGCCCAGCGCCAGCUGCAGGCCUGCAAGCGGCGGGAGCAGCGGCUGCGGCUGAGACUGACCAAGCUGCAGCAGGAGCGGGCACGGGAGAAGCGGGCACAGGCAGAUGCCCGCCAGACUCUGAAGGAGCAUGUGCAGGACUUUGCCAUGCAGCUGAGCAGCAGCAUGGCCUGAGGGGCUGCUGGACUGACCGAGGGGCUACCCAGCAAGACUGCAGCCUCUUCCUCCCUCAGAUCCCACCAGACCCACCAGGUGCCAUAAUAAAGCGGAUUCUAGACGGA
Molecule: small RNA, 1809 nt
Filed under: Pongo abelii (Sumatran orangutan)
Lineage: Eukaryota; Metazoa; Chordata; Mammalia; Primates; Hominidae
Description: retained intron
Source: RNAcentral